UACGGAGGGUGCGAGCGUUGUUCGGAAUUACUGGGCGUAAAGGGCUCGUAGGUGGCCAACUAAGUCAGACGUGAAAUCCCUCGGCUUAACCGGGGAACUGCGUCUGAUACUGGAUGGCUUGAGUUCGGGAGAGGGAUGCGGAAUUCCAGGUGUAGCGGUGAAAUGCGUAGAUAUCUGGAGGAACACCGGUGGCGAAGGCGGCAUCCUGGACCGAUACUGACACUGAGGAGCGAAAGCCAGGGGAGCAAACGGG
Molecule: ribosomal RNA, 253 nt
Filed under: uncultured bacterium
Lineage: Bacteria
Description: partial 16S ribosomal RNA
Rfam family: Bacterial small subunit ribosomal RNA
Source: RNAcentral